Molecule: ribosomal RNA, 497 nt
Filed under: uncultured bacterium
Lineage: Bacteria
Description: partial 16S ribosomal RNA
Rfam family: Bacterial small subunit ribosomal RNA
Source: RNAcentral
GAUGAACGCUGGCGGCGUGCCUAAUACAUGCAAGUCGAGCGGACGGACGCGAAGCUUGCUUCUCUGAUGCUAGCGGCGGACGGGUGAGUAACACGUGGAUAACCUACCUAUAAGACUGGGAUAACUUCGGGAAACCGGAGCUAAUACCGGAUGAUAUUUUGAACCACAUGGUUCAAAAGUGAAAGACGGUCUUGCUGUCACUUAUAGAUGGAUCCGCGCUGCAUUAGCUAGUUGGUAAGGUAACGGCUUACCAAGGCAACGAUGCAUAGCCGACCUGAGAGGGUGGUAGGCCGCACUGGAACUGAGACACGGUCCAGACUCCUACGGGAGGCAGCAGUAGGGAAUCUUCCGCAAAGGGCGAAAGCCUGACGGAGCAACGCCGCGUGAGUGAUGAAGGUCUUCGGAGCGUAAAACUCUGUUAUGAGGGAAGAACAUAUGUGUAAGUAACUGUGCACAUCUUGACGGUACCUAAUCAGAAAGCCACGGCUAACUACGUG